AUUCCAGCUCCAAUAGCGUAUAUUAAAGUUGUUGCAGUUAAAAAGCUCGUAGUUGGAUCUCAGGUGCAGGCGGGCGGUCCGGCUCGCGCCGGUCACUGCUCGUAUCUCCUGCCCUACCGUUUGCCGGCUCUCUCCCGUGGGUGCUCUUCACUGAGCGUCCCGGGUGGCCGGUGCGUUUACUUUGAAAAAAUUAGAGUGUUCAAAGCAGGCCUCGGCAGCCUGAAUAAUGGUGCAUGGAAUAAUGGAAUAGGACCUCGGUUCUAUUUUGUUGGUUUUCGGAACGGAGGUAAUGAUUAACAGGGACAAACGGGGGCAUUCGUAUUGCGGCGUUAGAGGUGAAAUUCUUGGAUCGCCGCAAGACGAGCUACUGCGAAAGCAUUUGUCAAGAAUGUUUUCAUCA
RNAcentral lists this ribosomal RNA (400 nucleotides) under Aplysia sp. (sea hare). Its description in RNAcentral is "partial small subunit ribosomal RNA". It matches the Rfam family "Eukaryotic small subunit ribosomal RNA", at positions 582 to 975 of the family's 1831-position model. Lineage: Eukaryota; Metazoa; Mollusca; Gastropoda; Aplysiida; Aplysiidae. The record is from RNAcentral.